GAGGUAACUGCCAUGGGGUAGGAAGCCCGGAAACCUCUCCGGCGACUGAUGAGCACUGGGCAGAUUAAAUAUGAAUGACAGUACAGAAUGGACAUGGGAAAACAUAGCAUCUCAGAAUUAGCUGCAGAGUCAGGAGAACGAACGUCACUUAUCAUCCUUGGUAUGAGACAACAAAACGGGAGACAGUAUCAGGGGCCAUUCUUUGGUGACCAUGAUUGUCUGCAUCUUAGUUCCCUGGAUCAUGAAGAAUUGUGUCAUGGAAGGUCCUAGUAGUGUAACAAGCCAUCCACCAAGAAUAAAGACUUAGAAUACCUUGCUCCUGUACCCAUGUUAGUUUGCCAGGGAAGACCUCAUCUAUAAAGCAGAGUAGGAGAACUUCUCUGGCCUUCAUCUCAGACUUCCCAGUUCCAAAAAUGGGAGAAGUACAUUUCUGUUGUCUGUUUCACCUAAUUUGUGGUAUGCUACAGCAACUUGAGAAUGAGACACCCACUCAAAAGGAAAACUCAAGAACAAGCAAUUUUUACCACCUCCUACUCAAUCACAUUGCUUUUAGAGCCAUAUGUGAUGAGUGACUGAAGAAGAAAAUGUAUGAACUACACUAAAUCAUUCAUACUUACUUAAAUUACAUGUAAAAUAAGCUCACAAUCAACUUUUGAAACCCAACAAUAUAUUUUUUUCAUCUGUCAGGAGUGAGAGUUUGUUCUGUCAACAUUAAGAGAUAAAAAUAUAAGACAAAAAUUGUAUCAAAGACUGGAAUAAAAUCCAACAUUUUCCCAUUUAAAAAUUAAAAAUAGCUUAUUUUCUCUUAUAAUAUAGCUUAUCCACAGUUUGCCAGCCAUCCACAUCUCCUAGAUCCCCACCUCUACCUCCCUUCUCCCCAAGAUCUACUACUCCCCCAUUUUGUUUCCUCUUCAGAAAUGAUUAGAACUCCAAAAGAUUACAAUCAAACAGGACAAAGCAAGAUACAAUAAGAUGAGGAAAAAUUCUUCCUAUCUAUCAAGGCUGUACAAGACAACCCAAUAGGAUGAAACCAUGAGCAGGAAAAACAUCCAGAGACUACUUGUUCCAAUGAUUAAGAGUCCUACAAAAUGCUUUUGACUCAAUGGUAGCACAUUUUAUUCCAAAUCAGAAGAUUGUGUGUUCAAACCAUGCUGGGGUCAUCAAUAGGGCUUUAAUUAUGUGUGUAUUAUGUGUACCUUAAUAAAUGAAAACCUAUUCCUAUGACAAUGGAAAAUGAUCCUUUUUAAAAACAAGAGGAUUUUAAAAAAAUGUUAAGGUUCCUCCUCUAGCCCUCAGGUCAGUAGAAAAGACAAAGGAAAAUGAACUACGUCUGAGGGAGUCUUUUCAAUGUGAUACAGAAAAUAGAAGAGUUUGCCAACUUAGUGAAUAUAUGCCAAGGCCAAGUAGAGGUGAUAGACUUUCUAGAUUGGGAAUAAUAAUCUCCAAUACCAAGUA
Mesocricetus auratus (golden hamster) is the source of this 1455-nucleotide long non-coding RNA. RefSeq lists it as uncharacterized. The transcript is spliced from 3 exons. The record is from RefSeq and is a predicted model, not a curated record. NCBI's taxonomy places the organism in Eukaryota, Metazoa, Chordata, Mammalia, Rodentia, Cricetidae.